Gossypium arboreum is the source of this 182-nucleotide long non-coding RNA. RefSeq lists it as uncharacterized. Lineage: Eukaryota; Viridiplantae; Streptophyta; Magnoliopsida; Malvales; Malvaceae. The transcript is spliced from 3 exons. The record is from RefSeq and is a predicted model, not a curated record.
UCAUCAUUUUUCUUCAGCAAAAACGCCAUGGGAGGUCUGAAAGCUGCUGGUUUUUCAUACUUUGACAUAUGUAAUACCUCGUAACCCUAAUUCGACGACGGAUAUAGGUUAGGGGUGUUACAUGUGCUCAGAAGCUUGGAAAGGUUGGAGAUAAGUCGGAGCAUCAUUAUACUAUCAACCUA